ACGUGUGUUCGAAGACGCGCUCGUGCUACCUGGUGGGGUGCCCACCUGUUUUCCUGUCCCGGAAGAAUGGGUUGUUUGCAAGAAUUGUGAAGUUUUUGUGGGAUUUGGUGUUUUCGUUGAAGAGAUAAACGACAGAAGAUGGAUGGACAGUGCUCAGAUUGUAGAGGGCUUUCGAGCUACUGCUCUGCUGCUGAACAGCAUGCAGUCCUUUCGGGAGCAAAGUAGUUAUCACGGAAACCAGCAGAGCUACCCGCAGGAAGUGCACGCUUCAUCCCGACUGGAAGAGUUCAGCCCCCGCCAGCAGGCCCAGAUGUUCCAGAGCUUUGGAGGAGGUGCUGGCAGUGGACGUCGUGGAGCAACAGGAGCCUCUACAGCAAUGCCUGGUGAGAGCUCUGGCCAUCAGAGCUACCAAGGUUUCAGAAAAGAAGCAGGAGAGUUUUACUAUAUGGCUGCCAACAAAGAUCCAGUGGUGUCAGGAGGGCAGCAGCCGCCUCAGCGCAGGCCUUCUGGACCAGUACAGAGCUAUGGGCCCCCUCAAGGGAGUAGCUUUGGGAGUCAGUAUGGGAGUGAGGGACAUGUGGGCCAGUUCCAAACACAGCACUCGACCCUUGGGGGUGUAUCUCACUAUCAACAGGAUUAUACUGGUCCUUUUUCUCCAGGGAGUGCCCAGUAUCAGCAGCAGGCUUCUAGCCAGCAGCAGCAGGUGCAGCAGCUGAGACAGCAGAUCUAUCAAUCUCAUCAGCCUUUACCCCAGGCUUCCAGCCAGUCUGCUUCUAGCACCUCGCACUUGCAGCCAAUGCAGCGUCCAUCCACCCUGCCUUCCUCUGCUUCAGGCUACCAGUUACGAGUGGGUCAGUUCAGCCAACACUAUCAGCCACCUUCGUCAUCCUCCUCCUCCUCUUUCCCUUCCCCACAGCGUUUUGGCCAGUCGGGACAGAAUUAUGACGGAAGCUACAAUGUGAAUUCUGGGUCGCAGUACGAAGGCCAUGCUGUGGGUUCCAAUGCACAGGCCUAUGGCACCCAGUCAAACUACAGCUUUCAAACUCAACCAAUGAAAAGCUUUGAGCAAUCUAAGCUGCCCCAAAGUGGGCAGCAGGGGCAGCAGCAGCAGCACCCACCUCAGCAUGUAAUGCAGUAUUCAAAUGCUGCCACCAAACUCUCUCUUCAAAGUCAAGUGGGACAGUACAGCCAGACUGAAGUUCCUGUAAGGUCACCGAUGCAGUUCCACCAAAACUUCAGUCCAAUCUCUAAUCCGUCUCCUGCUGCAUCUGUGGUUCAGUCUCCAAGCUGCAGCUCUACCCCUUCUCCACUCAUGCCAGGUGGAGAAAAUCUCCAGUGUGGGCAAGGCAACAUGUCCAUGGGUUCUCGAAACCGAAUCCUGCAGAUGAUGCCUCAGCUUAGUCCUACGCCAUCUAUGAUGCCAAGCCCCAAUGCUCAUGCAGGUGGAUUCAAGGGGUUUGGACUGGAAGGACUGCAGGAAAAAAGGCUCACAGAUCCAGGACUGAGCAGCCUGAGUGCUCUAAGUUCUCAAGUUGCCAAUCUGCCCAACACAGUCCAGCACAUGUUGCUCUCAGAUGCCUUGGCACCUCAGAAAAAAAGUUCCAAAAGAUCAUCCUCUUCCAAGAAGGCUGACAGCUGCACCAACUCAGAAGGCUCCUCCCAGGCAGAGGAGCAACUCAAGUCUCCCAUGGCAGAGUCCCUGGAUGGUGGCUGUUCCAGUAGUUCAGAGGAUCAUGGGGAAAGGGUGAGACAGCUGAGUGGCCAGAGCACCAGCUCAGACACCACUUACAAAGGGGGUAAUUUAGAGAGACCCAACUCCUCACCAGCACAAGGCUCUCAGAAUGAGCCAUCAAAACUCAGCAGCAGUCCUGCAGCUAGGGAGGAUGUGGCCUCCCCUGAUGGGAAGGAAGCUGUGGUGGCUGUGGAAAAUGCCCCAAAAGUGAAUGAAAAGGCAGUUGGGGUGAUUGUCUCCCGGGAAGCCAUGGCAGGAAGAGUAGAAAAGUCAGGUGGACAAGAUAAACCUGCGCAAGAUGAUGCUUCCACAGCCCCUCAGGCACCAGCUAGCACCAGUGGAGCAAAGGAAGCUGGGCAUGCAGGGACACAGCAAGAAACUCAAGCAGGAGGUAAAGGGAGCAAAAGUGGCGAUAACACUAACCAUAAUGGGGAGGGGAACAGCCAGCCUGGUCAUGCAGUUGUUGGGCCAAAUUUUCCUUCAAGAACAGAAUCUUCCAAGUCUCCUGGUAGUUUAAGAUACAGCUACAAGGAUAAUAUAGCACCUGGUAUACAGAGAAGUAUUGGUGGCUUUCCACAGUAUCCAUCUGGUCAAGAAAAGGGGGAUUUUCCAGGGCAUAGUGAGCGCAAAGGCCGUAAUGAGAAGUUUCCUAGCCUCCUACAAGAGGUUUUACAGGGGUACCACCAUCAUCCGGACAGAAGGUAUUCUAGGAACGCGCAGGAGCAUUCUGGGAUGGCUGGGAGUUUGGAGGGAGCCAUGAGACCCAAUGUUUUAAUUAGUCAAACCAAUGAAUUGACCAAUAGAGGCCUCUUAAACAAAAGCAUGGGGUCCCUCCUAGAAGGCCCUCACUGGGGUCCCUGGGAUAGGAAGUCUAGCAGUGCAGCUCCAGACAUAAAGCAGAUAAAUUUAGCUGAUUACCCUAUUGGUAGAAAGUUCGAUGUGGAGUCUCAGUCUGCUGCCCAUGAGGCAGGAGCACUCUCAGAGAGGAGAUCAGUGAUCUGUGACAUAUCUCCAUUAAGGCAACUUGUAAGAGAUCCUGGCCCUCACCCCAUAGGGCACAUGGGUCCUGAGGCCAGAAGCGGAAGGAGUGAACGUCUUGCCCCUGGCUUGAGCCAGUCAGUAAUACUCCCUGGUGGUUUGGUAUCCAUGGAAACAAAGAUGAAAGCUCACAGUGGGCAAAUAAAGGAAGAAGAUUUUGAACAGUCAAAGAGCUCAGCUAGUCUCAACAAUAAAAAAACAGGAGACCAUUGUCAUCCUGCCGGCAUCAAGCAUGAAUCUUUUCGAGGCAAUGCCAGCCCUGGAGCUGCAGUCUCUGAUGCUGCUCCAGACUACAUGCCCCAGCAGGACAGCAGAUCAACACAGAUGAGACGAGGACCUGGCAGAACUGGAAGGGGUAAAUCACCCUCUCAAUAUCAGGAUCUUGCUGAUAAGCUGAAAAUGUCACCAGGUAGAAGCAGAGGCCCAGGGGCAGAUCUGCAUCACAUGAACCCACACAUGACACUAUCUGAAAGAGUUAGCAGGGGUUCCUUGCAUUCUGUCUACCCUCAGAAUUCGGAAGGCCCAUCUCUGGCUUCAGCAUAUCACACGAAUGCUAGGCCUCAUGCUUUUGGUGACCCCAGCCAGAGUCUGAACUCCCAGUAUCAUUACAAGAGACAGAUAUACCAGCAACAGCAAGAAGAAUACAAAGAUUGGGCAAGCAGCGCUGCUCAGGGUGUGAUUGCUGCAGCUCAGCACAGACAGGAAGGAGCAAGGAAGAGCCCAAGACAACAGCAGUUUCUGGAAAGAGUAAGGAGUCCCUUAAAAAAUGACAAGGAUGGAAUGAUGUACCUUCAAGGUAGCUCUUACCAUGAUACUGGAAGCCAGGAAGCUGGGCGCUGUGUCAUGGGGAGUGACGGUACUCAGAGCAAGUGCACCGAACUGAAACAUGGCAGCCAGAAGUUGCAGCAUCAUGAAUCUGGUUGGGACCUCUCUCGACAAACUUCUCCUGCCAAAAGCAGCGGCCCUCUUGGAGCAGCCAACCAAAAAAGAUUUUGCCCUCAAGAAAGCGAUGGGCAUCGACGAGAGGAAUCUACAGAUUUGCCUAAGCCUAGUAAUGCUAUGCUUAGGCUCCCUGGCCAGGAGGACCAGUCUCCGCAAAACCCAUUAAUUAUGAGGAGGAGGGUCCGUUCUUUCAUCUCUCCUAUCCCUACCAAAAGACAGCCACAUGAUAUGAAGAACAGUGGCAGUGAAGAUAAAGCGCGACUGAUGACUUCAGCAAAAGAAGGAGCCGAUAAAACAUACAACUCCUAUGCCCAUUCAUCUCAAAGCCAAGAUGCUGGCAAGUCAGUUGCAAAGGGAGAUUCCUUCAAGGACCUGCCAAGUCCUGAUAAUAGGAAUUGUCCUGCUGUUUCCCUCACAAGCCCGGCAAAGACCAAAAUAUUGCCCCCAAGAAAGGGGCGAGGAUUAAAACUGGAAGCUAUUGUUCAGAAAAUUACAUCUCCCAAUAUUAGGAGAAGUGUUUCUACCAACAGUGCUGAAACUGGUCCAGAUACUGUCACUCUUGAUGACAUCCUGUCCCUCAAGAGUGGACCUGAAGGAGGAAAUGUGGCUGGCCAUGGACCAGAGGCUGAGAAGAGAAAAGGAGAGAUAUCAGAUCAAGUGGGGCCAGCAAGCCAGGAUACAAGUGGUGAAAAAACUGUUCCAAGAUCUUCAGAAGAGUGGCAAAGCAGCGAGGAUGACAAAAACAAAAAAGAGGUCCCUGAAACUGCCAGUAUUGGCAAAGAGGGAGCAGCAUCCAGUGCAGCACCAGCACCUUCUCAGAAGUCAGGUGGUCAGGGAAGGUCUGAUGGAUCUGUAAGUGGAGCUGGAACUCUGACCUUUUCUGACUCAAAAACAAUUUCCCCUUCCAGUGUAUUCAUUUCUGAACCAAAUCCAAAGUCUGAGGAAAAAGAUGGAGAUGUGACAAACAUUUCACCCAAGCCAGAUGGUUUCCCUCCAAAGGGAUAUUUCCCCUCUGGAAAGAAAAAAGGGAGGCCAAUUGGGAGUGUGAACAAGCAGAAGAAGCAGCAGCAGCAACAGCAGCAGCUGCCUGUGCCCCCGCCUCCCCCACCAGCACCAUCACAGCCUGCAGAAGGGGUGGGUGCUGGCGAGCCAAAGCCCAAGAGGCAAAGGAGGGAGAGGCGAAAACCUGCAGCACAGCCACGGAAGCGGAAGCCUAGACGGGCUGCUCCAAUCGUGGAGCCUCAAGAACCAGAGAUCAAGCUUAAAUAUGCUACCCAGUCUGUAGAUAAAACUGACUCCAAGAAUAAGUCCUUUUUCCCUUAUAUUCACGUGGUAAACAAGUGUGAAUUAGGCGCUGUGUGCACAAUCAUAAACGCGGAGGAAGAGGAGCAGAACAAAUUGGUGAGGGGUCGGAAAGGACAGAGGUCUUCAACACCCCCUCCUAGCAAUGCGGAGAGCAAAGUGCUGCCCACCUCAACUUUCAUGCUGCAAGGCCCUGUGGUAACGGAGUCUUCUGUCUUGGGGCAUCUCGUUUGCUGCCUGUGUGGCAAAUGGGCCAGCUAUCGUAACAUGGGUGACCUCUUUGGUCCUUUCUACCCCCAGGAUUAUGCAGCUACCUUGCCCAAGAAUCCACCUCCAAAGAGGGCCACAGAAAUGCAGAGCAAGGUCAAGGUACGGCACAAAAGUGCUUCUAAUGGUUCCAAGACAGAUACUGAAGAGGAGGAGGAACAGCAACAACAGAAGGAACAAAGAAGCCUGGCUGCUCAUCCCCGCUUUAAGAGGCGGCACCGCUCUGAGGACUGUAGCGGAGCCUCUCGGUCACUUUCAAGGGGAGCUUCUUGUAAAAAAGCAACCACUGAUGGUGGCAGUGGUGGUGAAAAGACUCCUUUGGACUCAAAACCGUCUAUGCCCACUUCAGAAGGUGGCACUGAGCUGGAGUUACAAAUUCCUGAACUACCUCUUGACAGCAAUGAAUUUUGGGUCCAUGAGGGUUGUAUUCUCUGGGCCAAUGGGAUCUACCUGGUCUGUGGCAGGCUCUAUGGGCUGCAGGAAGCUGUGGAGAUUGCGAGAGAGAUGAAAUGUUCCCAUUGCCAGGAACCAGGAGCCACCUUAGGCUGCUACAACAAAGGCUGCUCCUUCCGAUACCAUUACCCAUGUGCCAUCGAUGCAGUUUUUUUCCUGCUGUGAAGAUAAAGUAACGAAAAUGGUGAGAAACGGCAUGCGAUAAACAGCGUACAGUAACACGUUGGGACAAGAUGGAGCUUGUAAUGAAUCUGUCUGAAAGAGCAGAAAAAGCCUGGUUUGGGGGAGUGCAGCUACAGUGACGGAAAUUUGGCUGCAGUGUGAGAACUGAUCGCUCUUUUCUUGCCAAAAAUAGAAACCCUUUGUUAAAAGGAUAUUGUUUACUAAACGAAGAGAAUUUCUCAGUGAGGUGCCCCAAGCACAAGGUUAGGCUGUUGAGAUAAAAAGCGGUGGACAUUCGUGACUGAAUGGAAUCUCUCCCACUGUGCAGCCAUGCCCCCUCUCGACGUGCCUGCCAAUGCCAGCACUUCCUUCAUAAAUUCUUACAUCACACUCAAGACUGAUGACAUCACAGAAUCUGACCAAGGAGUCUGAACCAGCUGUUUCCAUGGACACAAUCUCCAUAGUGACAGUGGGGAGGGGAGGGGGAAAAAGGAAACAGGUGGGGGGAAUUAAAGAGGGAGGGAUAAAUAUAUAUAUAUAUAAAGAUCUAUUUUUUAGUCUUGAAAGACUUUGUUUUAAAUGAAAGGUGCGCUAUAUCCCUUUUGAUGCUUUUGAUUAAGAUUUUAAAAACCCCAUAUAAAUUAAAAAAGAAACUUAUAGCUAAAGUAAAUAUUAAAUCCAAAAUUAAAGCAAGGCAUGUGGAGCCUAACAUUUUGUGGGAAAGAAUAGCAAAACUGGGAGUACUCCAAACAGGACUUGUCUCUGUUCCUCUUGCUUUCUUUCUCACAACAUCUGAUGAAAUUCAAUUUUGAAAGGCAAAUGAAAUACUGAUAAAUUGUUUGUAGGGUGUGGGAGGAAGGCUUGGAUGAUUGCAGGUAAUUUGGUGUCAGUAGUUGUGUCUGGGGGGGGUAGCGAGGUUUCCAUUUUUGAGAAACACUGUUAACAAUGUAAGCUUGAAUAACAUCUGCAGACUCUUGGGUCAUGAGACUCAUGAAGUAAGAGGUGGCUGCUGCUUGCUAGGUCCCGUACCCCUCGUUGGUGUGGGAACACCUGUACCACACAGGGGAAGGGAGCAACAACGUGACCCCCAGAUCAUUCCAAGAAGCUGCCUUCAGUUUGGAAGGCAGGUGAGAGGAAGACAUGGUUUACCUGCCAGAUUGGGGAAUGAAAGGAAGUCUGAAUGUUGGGGGAGUCAAUGUAUCCUCAAACUGAUUGGGGUAAAUCCACUUGGCCCUCUUUUAUUUUUAUAUUUUCGCUUUUCCUAAGGAAGGAAGAGGGAAUGUCAGUGUAACAGUCUACACUAUAUGGUUAUUCGGGGUUGGUUUUUUUUCAUUUUUUUCUUUUUCUUUUUUUUUUUUCUUUUUUUUUUUUUUUUUGUAAAUUAUGUAAUUUUAAAACAUUUGGGUUUUAGGAACAACAACAAAAAAUCAUGUUUUUUUUCUUGUUAAGGCCUUAAGAAAGGGGUUAGUGCAUCUUUCAGGGGUCACUCUGCCAUGGGAAUAAAAAUAGCUGUUUCACAAACAGUUUUAUAUAAAAAAAGCUUAAAAAAACCAAAAAAAACUAAUAAACUUCAUUUUAACCUUGUCUCCUUUUGUUUUGUGCGAACUUGAUUUGUUUAAAAGGACAGAGACAGUACUAUCUGCUGCUUUUUGGUUUCUUUGCCUUCAUCGGUUCUGCCUUCAGUGAUGACCUUCUGAACUGGCCCAGCAAGAGGAAGACCACAAAGGCUUUGAAAAACUAAAGCUUAGGAUCUGUUUGAUGUUCAGAGUUAACAAGCCAAUGACUGGAUGAAUUUUCUGUUCGUGUGAGUUGGUGGUAUUUCACCAGGUCACUGACUUCUUUCACUCACAGGAUGGUCGCAUAUCCCAGCGGUAUCAAACAGCGUGUUGUUUACUGGGAAGUCACUAGAGAUAGGGAUCUAACCAGCAUGACAUGGAUUAAAAAAUGGGGUUGAUAUUGUGGGGAGGGAAGAACUAUUUUAAAAGUUAUGUACUGGAUGCUUGCUCAGCUACUCACAUUUUGGAGUAUUCAGCACAUAAAAAUAAAAUCUAUGAUAGCUCAUAUUAAGAUAUCUAUUUUAACUCUAUUUUUAAAAGAUCGAUUUAAAGAUUUGGGAGAUAAUUUGGCAGUUAUUUAUUUCUAUAAGUUGCUACUCUCACUCAUAAAUAUUUGGAAAGAAAAGGCAGCCUUCUGCUUAGUCCUUUCCCAGUAGCAGCUACCGAAGUUAGUAUGUCCUUUACAUUAAGAAAUAGACCUGUUGUGAUAAAUGUCACUAAUGUGUCAUGAAUUGGUGCUGAAAAUAUUUAACUGCUGGUGUAGUCAGAAAAAAGUCAUUUUUAGCAUAGUUAAUGUGAUUGAGUAAAUGACUUCUUUUCAACUGAAUAAAAAUUGGUUUUUUUUUC
RNA transcript from Onychostruthus taczanowskii (white-rumped snowfinch), 8298 nucleotides. It is a transcript of the gene named transcription factor 20, with no coding region annotated. NCBI's taxonomy places the organism in Eukaryota, Metazoa, Chordata, Aves, Passeriformes, Passeridae. The transcript is spliced from 6 exons. The record is from RefSeq and is a predicted model, not a curated record.